CGUAAUCCGGGUUGCGGACAGUGUCUGGUGGGUAGUUUGACUGGGGCGGUCUCCUCCUAAAGAGUAACGGAGGAGCACGAAGGUUGGCUAAUCCUGGUCGGACAUCAGGAGGUUAGUGCAAUGGCAUAAGCCAGCUUGACUGCGAGCGUGACGGCGCGAGCAGGUGCGAAAGCAGGUCAUAGUGAUCCGGUGGUUCUGAAUGGAAGGGCCAUCGCUCAACGGAUAAAAGGUACUCCGGGGAUAACAGGCUGAUACCGCCCAAGAGUUCAUAUCGACGGCGGUGUUUGGCACCUCGAUGUCGGCUCAUCACAUCCUGGGGCUGAAGUAGGUCCCAAGGGUAUGGCUGUUCGCCAUUUAAAGUGGUACGCGAGCUGGGUUUAGAACGUCGUGAGACAGUUCGGUCCCUAUCUGCCGUGGGCGCUGGAGAACUGAGGGGGGCUGCUCCUAGUACGAGAGGACCGGAGUGGACGCAUCACUGGUGUUCGGGUUGUCAUGCC
This 497-nucleotide ribosomal RNA is filed under the name Salmonella enterica subsp. enterica serovar Stanley. RNAcentral's name for it is "partial 23S ribosomal RNA". It matches the Rfam family "Bacterial large subunit ribosomal RNA", at positions 2234 to 2730 of the family's 2925-position model. Lineage: Bacteria; Pseudomonadati; Pseudomonadota; Gammaproteobacteria; Enterobacterales; Enterobacteriaceae. The record is from RNAcentral.